Molecule: small nuclear RNA, 34 nt
Filed under: Cervus elaphus hippelaphus
Lineage: Eukaryota; Metazoa; Chordata; Mammalia; Artiodactyla; Cervidae
Source: RNAcentral
GCUUGCUUCGGCAGCACAUAAACUAAAAUUGGAA